This is a long non-coding RNA of Mus musculus (house mouse), 406 nucleotides long. RefSeq annotates it as predicted gene, 39422. The record is from RefSeq and is a predicted model, not a curated record. NCBI's taxonomy places the organism in Eukaryota, Metazoa, Chordata, Mammalia, Rodentia, Muridae. The transcript is spliced from 4 exons.
CUGCCUGCAGAAUGUGCUGGAACCAGAGCCUAACAGAAUCAUCAUCAAAGAGACCAGAGAGACUUUAUCCAGCAACGGAUGGGAACAGAUGCUGAGUCCCACAGCCAAACAUGAGGACCUCUCACUGAAUCCAGAGCUUAUCAGUUCAACCAGAAGAACUGGCCAGCAAGAUCCAGACAUCUUCCCCCUCCGCCCCUGCCCCCCAAAGCUGGGAUUAUAAAGCAAUGGCACCACCAGCCACCUAGUGACCCGAGUCAGGAUCUGAGUCACCCCAACUCCUGCCUCUCCUCAGUCUACAUCACACCACAGUUCCUGCUUCCAGGUUCCUGCCUAGAGUUGCUGCCUUGUCUCCCCUUGAUGAUGGAUGGACUGUAAGAUGUAAGCCAAAUAAACCUUUCUUCUGCAA